UACGAAGGGGCUAGCGUUGUUCGGAUUUACUGGGCGUAAAGCGCACGUAGGCGGAUCUUUAAGUCAGAGGUGAAAUCCCAAGGCUCAACCUUGGAACUGCCUUUGAUACUGGGGAUCUUGAGUCCGGGAGAGGUGAGUGGAACUGCGAGUGUAGAGGUGAAAUUCGUAGAUAUUCGCAAGAACACCAGUGGCGAAGGCGGCUCACUGGCCCGGUACUGACGCUGAGGUGCGAAAGCGUGGGAGCAAACAGG
This 251-nucleotide ribosomal RNA is filed under the name uncultured bacterium. Its description in RNAcentral is "partial 16S ribosomal RNA". It matches the Rfam family "Bacterial small subunit ribosomal RNA", at positions 524 to 776 of the family's 1533-position model. The record is from RNAcentral.